Molecule: ribosomal RNA, 459 nt
Filed under: uncultured bacterium
Lineage: Bacteria
Description: partial 16S ribosomal RNA
Rfam family: Bacterial small subunit ribosomal RNA
Source: RNAcentral
CCUACGGGGAGCAGCAGUGAGGAAUAUUGGUCAAUGGCCGGAAGGCUGAACCAGCCAAGCCGCGUGAAGGACGAAGGUGCCAAGCAUUGUAAACUUCUUUUGUCAAGGGACAAAAUCAGGCUCGAGAGCCUGACCGAGGGUACUUGAAGAAAAAGCAUCGGCUAACUCCGUGCCAGCAGCCGCGGUAAUACGGAGGAUGCGAGCGUUAUCCGGAUUUAUUGGGUUUAAAGGGUGCGUAGGCGGACUGUUAAGUCAGCGGGAAAAGCCCGGGGCUCAACCCCGGCGAGCCGUUGAGACUGGCUGUCUUGAGAUGUCGAGAGGUAUGCGGAAUGCGCAGUGUAGCGGUGAAAUGCUUAGAUAUUGCGCAGAACUCCGAUUGCGAAGGCAGCAUACCGGCGGCGAUCUGACGCUGAGGCACGAAAGCGUGGGUAUCGAACAGGAUUAGAUACCCCAGUAGUC